Molecule: ribosomal RNA, 417 nt
Filed under: uncultured bacterium
Lineage: Bacteria
Description: partial 16S ribosomal RNA
Rfam family: Bacterial small subunit ribosomal RNA
Source: RNAcentral
AAUAUUGCUCAAUGGAGUCAACUCUGAACCAGCCAAGUCGCGUGAAGGAUGACUGCCCUACGGGUUGUAAACUUCUUUUCUAAGGGAAUAAAGUGAGCCACGUGUGGCUUUUUGCAUGUACCUUACGUAUAAGGAUCGGCUAACUCCGUGCUAGCAGCCGCGGUAAUACGGAGGACCCGAGCGAUAUCCGGAUUUAUUGGGUUUAAAGGGUGCGCAGGAGGAAUAUUAAGUCGGCGGUGAAAGUUUGCAGCUUAACUGUAAAAUUGCCGUUGAAACUGGUUUUCUUGAGUGUAUAUGAAGUAGGCGGAAUUUGUAGUGUAGCGGUGAAAUGCAUAGAUAUUACAAGGAACUCCGAUUGCGAAGGCAGCUUACUAAAAUACAACUGACGCUCAGGCACGAAGGCGUGGGUAUCAAACA